Molecule: long non-coding RNA, 367 nt
Filed under: Olea europaea (common olive)
Lineage: Eukaryota; Viridiplantae; Streptophyta; Magnoliopsida; Lamiales; Oleaceae
Description: long non-coding RNA (OEUR_LNC014345)
Source: RNAcentral
CAUCUUGCUCCAUAAAUUCAUGCCUUCAAAUGAGUAUUUCAUCUCUACAAUUAUUCGUGUUAACUAUAUUCAUUCAAAAACCCAAAUAAAAAUUCAAGAUUUUUUCCAAAAUUGGUAUUUCAUACCUUAAUAUAAGUAGCCUUCCCAAUUCAAAAAUAUUGGCUUGCUAACAUAUCCCUUCCUUCAAUCUGGAAAUUAAACCAAUAAAUCACAACCGUAAAAAAAUUAAGCAUACAACAUACCAAGAAAUUUGUCAAAUUGAAGAUGAAAUUGGAAUAGCCAAGCCUACCUUUUUUCCUUUCUUGCUUUUCUUCUUUCUCUCUUUCCUUUCUCUUUUCUUUCUUUCUUCUCGAUUUUUCCAGCUUCU